CAAUGCUUGAAAAGGAUAAAUAGACACCAGGAGGGCAGGGGCCAACCUCACGGCCCGUGAGGCGCUGAACCGUGCUGAGGCACUUUAAGACCUGCAGUGCCCCACCCCAACUGUUAAUGAGCUCAUUAACAGCCACUGCCCCUCUCUCCCUCAUAUCCAGCUCGGGGCAGUGGGGUUCAGAGUGAGGAGGGAUCACUUCGCUGUGAAGAGCUGUGUGGACGGGAGUCUGCCCAGGAGCCCAGGGAUGAAGGAAAUCUUGGACAUCUUUUGUUGUGUCACCACUUGUUAUCUGCUGCUAGCUGGUGUCGGGGGACUGAAAGACAAGAUAACUGACAUGCAGAAGGUUAUUAUAGCUUGAAUUGAGAGACUGGACUACUGAACAACUAUUGUCAUCGAAACAUACAGGAGUAAAGUAUGCUGUGAGCAAAGCACAAGCCAUGUACAAUACUUCAUUCAAUUGUCUUACAUUCUAAAAAUAUGUCAGGAAAAAGGGGGAAGGAACAUUAUUUCAGCAUGCAAUAAAUUAUGCAGAUUUCCCUUUGGAGGCUAUUGUGUUGUUGUUUUUUUUCUUUUCUAUACCAAAAUUGUUUAUUUUAAAGAGAACUCAGCAAAAUGAUACACACUUAGAAGACUUGUUCUCUACCACAUGAGAUUCAUCUCCACAGUAAUGAUCUGGUGCCACUGGUCCCUGUGCAUCUGGAUGUAAAGUAGUGAAUUAUGGAGCACAGCAACACUUCUUGUUUUAUGUUAAGUAUUUCAAAAGGGUUCUUGGCUAUUCAUUGUGGGGUGGGAUAUUGUAGUAGGUGGCUUUGAGCCUGGUAAACAUGUAUUACUUAUCCUUUAGAUAUGGUUUAAAGAGUAACAUCUUGUUUUCCUUUCACUGCAAUAAAAAUAAAGUACCAAAGGGUUCUUCUGGGAUUUUCCCUGGCUGCCAGACUAAUUAACCAGUGUGGUACUCUUUGUAUCAUGACUUUCAACUUUACUGAUUAUAUUUAUCAAGGAAGAUCAGCAAAAGGAUUUUCUGUUGUUUUAUUUUGAGGCUUUUUCUUACUUAAUUGAGUGAGGUGCAAAUUAGAUAAGUUCUGGUUUGGGUUGUCUGCCUCCAUCUGCAUGCAAAGAUGUGUAUUCUCUCACCUCUCUGCCGCUCCUCCUGGUAAUCCACUGUUCACUUUCAUUAAUCUUGCUAAAUCCUGUUCCGUGCGGCCUAGAACCAAACAGAUUCACUAAUGGAAGUUCAGAAAUACAUCUGUUUGUGUGAGCAUGGAAAGUGAAGGGGAGACAUAACCAUAGCAGGAAAAGGAUCGACAACUGACCUGCAAAGAGGAUUCCAUUAAUGAAAUUGAGAGAAACCAGUGUGGAAAAUGGCAGUGGUUGAGUUUCAGGCCUUACAGAGAUGAGUCCCAGAGCAGUUUCAAAUGUGCUGUGAGCCUGAGGAGGAUGGUUUGGAUGCUUGAAGCUGGUGGUGUGAUGUGCUGUUCCAUUAAGAGUUCAUUUUUGAGUGCAUUCAUGUGCUCAUGGUGUGCUGCGAGCAUGGCAGGUGGCUGCCUGUGUUCUGCUUGUGCUUGGUUGUGCGUGUGUCUGUAAGGGUGUGAAUCACCCUGCCAACAGAAAAUAAAAUGCUGGCAAAUAUUUUAAGAGCCUCUCGUGGAGUAUGGACUGUCCAAACUCUCAGGCACAACUGGAAGCUAUAUUCCACCAAUAUACAAUUCGUUUGCAUACCAGUAUCCCUAAAACACCACAUACACUGCUGUUAAAAGCUUAUCAUUUAUUAUACUCCAGUUUGUGGACAGUGCUGUGGUGACUCCAUUUUUUUUUUUUUCCCUUUUACUGCAGUAGGCAACAGAAAUAAACAGCCACAAUGAACCAUCUAAUUCUGGAGUAGAUUGUGUGAUACCUUUACCCUUACUGAAUUGUCUGUGAUGAAUCCCAAGUUAUAACAUAAACAUAGCAGUGAAAGCAUGGAGGAGCUUCAGGUGUGAAAUACAUUUGCAGGAACUCAGUUUGCCCCCACAAGUUUUUUUGACAGAAGAGCUCACUGUAGUUUAUUUCCUACCUCAGUGGUUUGCAAUCUAGUAAGGGACUCAUCCUGCCAAACCACAAGGCAUAAACAUUUUCCUUCUUGUUAAAUCUCUCCAGAUAGCACCACACCAUCCACACAAUCUUAGCAUCUGCCCGAUAAUAUACACACACUAAUUCUUGGAAAGGUCACUUCUGCUCAAAUGUUAAUUAGAUGUUGAUGUUGUUAAAGUGUAAAUAGGCUAAAAAAUUUACCUAGAAAAAAAUCUGUUUCUUGAUAUCAUUGUAAGUAACUGUAUUUUCUUUAUGGGUUAUCUAUAUCUAUCUAUCUAUCUAUCUAUCUACCUACCUACCUACCUACCUACCUAUCGGUAUUAUAUGCAUUUCAAAGCUUAAUGAGGAGAAGGAUUUAUUAUUAUUGUUAGCUUAUUUUCUUCUUCUCAACUUCCUGCUCACAAAGAAAGAAGGCUCAUAAAUUUAGGAAGAACCUAAGUGCUCACUGUUAAUCAUGAAUUUAACUUCUUGUAAUCACCAACUUAAACCCUGCUUAAUAAACUAAAAAUGUUAAUAAUCUGGAAAAGGGAAAUUAAAACAAUUAAAGAUUAUUAGCUAAAUAGCCAAAGAGCAGAGGGCUUCUGCAUGGAAAUGUAUGCAGGAUAAGGAUUGCAAAUCCCAGAUGAUGAAGGAAGCUUAGUUAUUCUUUCAACUUUACUCCUCAAUCCUUCCCUAAUUCUCUGUAUAACAGUCUGGAUUUUUCUUGAAAUUAAUUGUUUUAAUUAUGGCAAAUGGCUUGAAUGGCUUCUAUGUGAGAAAAGAAUUAAAACUGUGGAUGGUUUAGUGUGGAGAGGGGACAUAAAGAGGGCACACGAUGGAGCUAUACAAAUAAUGAAUUGCCUAUACAGAAAGUAAAUCUGGUGCUUUCACUUAUCAUUUCUUAUAAUACAAGAACCAGGGGACUUAUAAUGAAACCGAAAGGCAGCAAAAUUAAAACCAUUAAAGAAAAUAAGUAUUUACACAAAUGCAUAAUUAACCUGUGGAAUUAAUUCCCACAAGAGUUCAGUGGAGCCAAGAGCUUAGUGGGGUUCGGAAAAGGAUUAGACAUUUAUAUGGAUAAUGGAAACGCCUGUAGUGGGGUUGGUUGGAGCGAGGAGUAUAAAGGGAACGCGGGACUGCAGCUCCUGCUGAGGACAGUGGCAGUGAGAUGAAGUGUAUAAAGACUCAGGCAAACUGCACUGGCGAAUCAUGGACUGACACGGGGAGGAGGAAAAUGCCUAAGGUGCUGCCAUGCAGAAGAUGCUAAGAUGACAAAAGCAUGGAGCAAGCUCUCUUAAGAGCUCUGCUAGUGAAGGAAACAUCACGACUUCCAUUGGAGGCCAACAACCCCAGCCUAUGCCAGCUCUCACCAUCAAUGUUAUUACUUAUUUGUGAACUUACCAGUCAGCAGAGGGAAAAUUAGGUUAACCUAUGGCAGAAUGGCUGUCAAGUCACCUGAGCAUUGGGUUGUUCCGUGAGCAAGGCAUUUUCUUCAAGUUUCUAUUUCAGAGUUUGGAAACUUUGAAGUCUCCUUGUGUUAAUGCUGCACAAAUGAAGAAAAGCACAUUGGAAUUGUUUCAGAGGCUGACACACAGUCACACAAAUGGGGGAAAGGGGAGAUACACACAAAAAGAAUGGUGGUAUCUCCAGCUGCAUUCAAUGUACCUUUUGAGUUGAAACAUUCAGCCUUGUCUGUAGGGUGUUCAAUGACAGAACGCACCAAGACUUCAGUCAGUAGUGCUGUUUCACAUCCUUUCGUCCUUCUGGGUCUGCUGUCCUUAUGUGCAGUGUAUGUAUGUCCUUAUAUUACCUGAGUCUAUAUCGAUGUAAGAAAUCACUAAAUGCAAGCACUUAGACCUAAGAUAAUUAGCUGGUUAGAAUAUGUGAAGGUAUACAAAAAACCCUUCAGACCAUGCUGAAAUUGUACUUCAAAAUGUUUGGUUGUUUUUUUUUUGCCUAAUGUUAGUAUAAUAUUUUGCAUGUAUUAUUUGCAUAACCACAUGUUCUUUUGAGUAAUGCUGUUAAAUGGGGUAUUUAAGGGAGGACUUGAUGAUAUGUUGGCAGGAAUAUUUUCUGUUAGGUACAGAAUAUUUACAGUUCAUUAACAGACCCUCUCUAUAAAUAAUACAUAGGUAGGUACCAAUCCUAAGUGACACAGUUGGUUGCAUGUCACAGUACUCUGUCUGCUCUGUCUGAGCAAUUUAAGAGCUGUUUUUCCAUACAGCCCCUUUUUGCAUUAGCAGUCAUCCAGCCACUUGUCACCAGGAGAAGCAUGCUUCAGAUUUGUAUAUAAAGGCUGCUGAAACCCAGAACAACCCAGUUGUCACUUUUUCCCCUCUUACAUCACCAGAGAUUGUUUGCAGGAUCAGAGGGAGGCAGAAAAGACAGACAUAAGCAGGUGUAAUUCUGAAAAAAGUGCCAGUCACAAUAAGCAGUUUGUCAUCGUUUUCUUUUUAGCUUUUAUUGCUGAUUUAGUCAUCUUGAGUUUUCUGAGUCCCAGCAGAAAAGUGGAACAUCUUUAAUGGUGUCUGUCACCCAGAGGGAGUAACCUAGAAGCACAGAAGGAAGUGGGAUGUUUCAUCCUUGUGCUCCCACUGGAAAGAAUGAUCCCUCUGGCCCCUCUCCUUGCAUUCUGUCCAUGCAGAAUGGAUUUUCUGAGUGGAAAUGGAGUGUAAAUCCGGUAACAAACUUUGCUCUUUGCUGACAGGCAGUGCCAACUGGAUCUCUGAUUUAGUCAGUGGGGUCAAGUGAAAGCACUGGGCAAGCUGACCACAAUCCAUGGAUUAUGGUGGCCCAAGUCCAUCCCUGAAGUGGUCAGGCAGUUAAACUUGAUAUUCGUUGUAAAUCCCCUUCCAAACAAACUAUUCUACUCCAUUCCAUUCAUUAGUAUUAUACCCAAGAUUUCUUCAAUGGUUCAAAAACUAAAGAAUAAACAAGGUGAAUAAAACUAUCCUUAUGGGGAAAAAAAGAAAUUAUUUCACAUAAGAUAUAAGGUGUUAGUUAUGCAAGAGUUACAGAAGAAAUAGGACAAGGAUACAAGAAUGGGGUAGCUAUCCAAGAGUUCAAAGGUAGGCAGCUGAUCAAAGGUUAAAUACAAAAAGAAAUUAUUGUAUUCAAGUUGAAGAUAGGACACGUUAACCUAAAUAGAUGUU
RNAcentral lists this long non-coding RNA (5201 nucleotides) under Gallus gallus (chicken). RNAcentral describes it as "lncRNA (ENSGALG00010001631.1)". The record is from RNAcentral. Lineage: Eukaryota; Metazoa; Chordata; Aves; Galliformes; Phasianidae.